Molecule: long non-coding RNA, 217 nt
Filed under: Elaeis guineensis (African oil palm)
Lineage: Eukaryota; Viridiplantae; Streptophyta; Magnoliopsida; Arecales; Arecaceae
Description: long non-coding RNA (EGUI_LNC053909)
Source: RNAcentral
AUCUCACCUUCUGACAUCACUUCUCAUCCUUUCGAAUCUCCUAUCUCAUACCCGAUCCACCUCCACCUGGAGCUUCACCUCGCUCUAAGAUUCACCUGGCUCCUGAUGCUCCACCUCACACUGGGCUCCCCAUCAGGUAAUAAUGUCCUCUCUUCUCUUUCUUCCCCACCAGAGCAAUCCUAUCGCCGCAUAGCACCUUCAGGAUUCCUCCGCCAAC